GACAAAGUCCCAGCAGUAGCGGUCAUACUUUUGAAGAGCCGAGUGUUAUCCAUCCAUACCAGGCGUAAAAAGCGUUCGUUCU
RNAcentral lists this ribosomal RNA (82 nucleotides) under Eimeria acervulina. RNAcentral describes it as "small subunit ribosomal RNA". The record is from RNAcentral. Lineage: Eukaryota; Apicomplexa; Conoidasida; Eucoccidiorida; Eimeriidae.